This 497-nucleotide ribosomal RNA is filed under the name uncultured bacterium. RNAcentral describes it as "partial 16S ribosomal RNA". It matches the Rfam family "Bacterial small subunit ribosomal RNA", at positions 28 to 507 of the family's 1533-position model. The record is from RNAcentral.
GAUGAACGCUGGCGGCGUGCCUAAUACAUGCAAGUCGAGCGAACGGACGAGAAGCUUGCUUCUCUGAUGUUAGCGGCGGACGGGUGAGUAACACGUGGAUAACCUACCUAUAAGACUGGGAUAACUUCGGGAAACCGGAGCUAAUACCGGAUAAUAUUUUGAACCGCAUGGUUCAAAAGUGAAAGACGGUCUUGCUGUCACUUAUAGAUGGAUCCGCGCUGCAUUAGCUAGUUGGUAAGGUAACGGCUUACCAAGGCAACGAUGCAUAGCCGACCUGAGAGGGUGAUCCGCCACACUGGAACUGAGACACGGUCCCGACUCCUACGGGAGGCAGCAGUGGGGAAUCUUGCACAAUGGGCGGAAGCCUGGCCGAGCCACGCCGCGUGGGUGAAGAAGGUCUUCGGGUUGUAAAACCCUUUUUUUAGGGAAGAAAAACAGUGGAAGAAAACCUGGCUGUUCUGACGGUACCCAAAGAAAAAGCCCCGGCUAACUUCGUG